Molecule: long non-coding RNA, 690 nt
Organism: Eufriesea mexicana
Lineage: Eukaryota; Metazoa; Arthropoda; Insecta; Hymenoptera; Apidae
Exons: 3
Source: RefSeq, a predicted model, not a curated record
ACCAGUGUGCGCCCCCGUUGACUCGUUGACUCACUGACUCUUGACGGACUUACCGUUAACCAGCAAAAGUGAACCAAGUAAGUCGUGUCUCUGGAACUUGCGGUACCGAUUGUACAGUAUGCUACGUGUGGGACGAUUUAAAGCUCGCCAUUGUCGCCGACCGAAUAUACGGAAGGGCUCGUCGAAGAAAGUGCGAGCGAACAAUUCUCCAGCCGCUCUUUAAACCCUGACUUUUACUACCAAUAACAAGAUCCUUCGAGAAGCCUUGUUUCGACUUAACUGCACUGUACGAGAUACACCCUGAAGUAGGCUCUGUUACGUCUGGACAACCGCGCAUGCGUCAAGCAUCGCUUGCAAAUUGGAAAAGAUUCUAGAGAAUUCGUAUAUCUGAUAAUAAGAGACAAUAAGAAUAUUCGAGAAGGACAUUUGCACAGCAUCACACGAAUCGUAGAUUUCGAUUUCCGCCAGUGUUUUUGAACCUAAUUUCUUCGAAUUUUAUUACCGAUAACGAGAGCCUUCGAGGAGUUUCGUUGCGACCUAACUGUACUAUGCGAAGUACUCCGUGAAGUAGGAAUUGUUACACGAUCCUUGGACAAGGCCAACCGCGCUAUGUAGGAUGUCCCCUCGAACUUGGGUUCGUUACACGUGGAUAACCACGCGUUAAAGAGCACCGAAACACUGCCAAGUGGA